Pelobates cultripes (western spadefoot toad) is the source of this 218-nucleotide non-coding RNA. The record is from the annotation of a GenBank genome assembly. Lineage: Eukaryota; Metazoa; Chordata; Amphibia; Anura; Pelobatidae.
GCUACUCGAGGUGCUUCCUGAGGCAGCGUUGCACAGUGAGCAGCACUGACUUUCAGUGUCUCCACCCUCUGCAUGGAGACACUGAACAUUCCUCAUAGAGAUGCAUUGAUACUUACAGAAGUCACUAUUAAAGUAUAUGGUAAUUUUUGUAGAUAAAUUAUUUAGAAAGUUUUUCUAACCGUAUAGAAUCAUGUGCAAGGCUUAUAAAAUCAAGGCCC